RNAcentral lists this long non-coding RNA (364 nucleotides) under Anas zonorhyncha (Eastern spot-billed duck). RNAcentral describes it as "lncRNA (ENSAZOG00000000677.1)". The record is from RNAcentral. Lineage: Eukaryota; Metazoa; Chordata; Aves; Anseriformes; Anatidae.
UGUUCGUGUUGCCUGGGGGAAGCUACGGAGUCAGACCGAGCUCUUGCCAGGCGUGUGCGUUACCCUCAGGCUCGUUGAUCACUUGAUGUAGCCUCACUUUUAGCAGGGAGAGCUUAACGCUUAAUCGGACAUGCCAUGCUUGGUGUGGCAGGCAGCACAGAAUUGCAUCCAAACAACUUGCCCCAUGUCACACACCGUGCUGAGCACAAAGGCUGCAUCAUGCCUGAUUUACAGCACACACAGGAAACGACCAAAUAAUUUGGAAGUAUUGCAGAGUUGCUCUGUGCAAAAUUGGUUUGAAGUGAGGAGACUAGUUAUAGUUGCCUGGACUUCUGUUCGAUGUGUUGAUAUAAAAGAGGGGUAG